AGGGAUCAUUACCGAGUUUACAACUCCCAAACCCAAUGUGAACGUUACCAAACUGUUGCCUCGGCGGGAUCUCUGCCCCGGGUGCGUCGCAGCCCCGGACCAAGGCGCCCGCCGGAGGACCAACCAAAACUCUUUUUGUAUACCCCCUCGCGGGUUUUUUAUAAUCUGAGCCUUCUCGGCGCCUCUCGUAGGCGUUUCGAAAAUGAAUCAAAACUUUCAACAACGGAUCUCUUGGUUCUGGCAUCGAUGAAGAACGCAGCGAAAUGCGAUAAGUAAUGUGAAUUGCAGAAUUCAGUGAAUCAUCGAAUCUUUGAACGCACAUUGCGCCCGCCAGUAUUCUGGCGGGCAUGCCUGUCCGAGCGUCAUUUCAACCCUCGAACCCCUCCGGGGGGUCGGCGUUGGGGAUCGGCCCUGCCUCUUGGCGGCGGCCGUCUCCGAAAUACAGUGGCGGUCUCGCCGCAGCCUCUCCUGCGCAGUAGUUUGCACACUCGCAUCGGGAGCGCGGCGCGUCCACAGCCGUUAAACACCCAACUUCUGAAAUGUUGACCUCGGAUCAGGUAGGAAUACCCGCUGAACUUAA
RNAcentral lists this ribosomal RNA (580 nucleotides) under Trichoderma sp. 1PN-2. RNAcentral describes it as "eukaryotic LSU rRNA". The stretch from base 212 to 365 matches the Rfam family "5.8S ribosomal RNA". The record is from RNAcentral. Lineage: Eukaryota; Fungi; Ascomycota; Sordariomycetes; Hypocreales; Hypocreaceae.